UGACCAUCACUAGGGGGAAGAGACUGCC
This 28-nucleotide small RNA is filed under the name Bombyx mori (domestic silkworm). Its description in RNAcentral is "ovarian small RNA-31545". The record is from RNAcentral. Lineage: Eukaryota; Metazoa; Arthropoda; Insecta; Lepidoptera; Bombycidae.